AGGCAGCCUCUUUGCAAGUUGUAAUGGUGAAGAAGGUGUUAAACUGCUCGUAAAUUAAUGUCUUUUGCUCUUCAGACUUGCUGAGACUGUCUCUGAAGCUGGUCUAGUAAGCUCAAGUACAUU
Corylus avellana is the source of this 123-nucleotide small nucleolar RNA. RefSeq annotates it as small nucleolar RNA snoR77. NCBI's taxonomy places the organism in Eukaryota, Viridiplantae, Streptophyta, Magnoliopsida, Fagales, Betulaceae. The record is from RefSeq and is a predicted model, not a curated record.